This 72-nucleotide transfer RNA is filed under the name Desmophyllum pertusum. RNAcentral's name for it is "tRNA-Gly". The record is from RNAcentral. Lineage: Eukaryota; Metazoa; Cnidaria; Anthozoa; Scleractinia; Caryophylliidae.
GCAGGGAUGGCACAGUGGUGAGAGCACUCGCCUCCCACCAAUGCGACCCGGGUUCGAAUCUCGGACCCGACA